GACGAAGGUGGCGAGCGUUGUUCGGAAUCACUGGGCAUAAAGCGCACGUAGGUGGCGGCGUAAGUCGGGUGUGAAAUCCCUCGGCCUAACCGAGGAACUGCGCCCGAUACUGCGUUGCUUGAGGGUCAAAGGGGUGCAUGGAAUUCCAGGUGUAGCGGUGAAAUGCGUAGAUAUCUGGAGGAAUACCGGUGGCGAAGGCGGCAUCCUGGACCGGCAUUGACGCUGAGGAGCGAAAGCCAGGGGAGCAAACGGG
RNAcentral lists this ribosomal RNA (253 nucleotides) under uncultured bacterium. RNAcentral's name for it is "partial 16S ribosomal RNA". It matches the Rfam family "Bacterial small subunit ribosomal RNA", at positions 524 to 776 of the family's 1533-position model. The record is from RNAcentral.